RNAcentral lists this ribosomal RNA (404 nucleotides) under uncultured bacterium. RNAcentral describes it as "bacterial SSU rRNA". It matches the Rfam family "Bacterial small subunit ribosomal RNA", at positions 32 to 417 of the family's 1533-position model. The record is from RNAcentral.
AAUCAACGCUGGCGGCGUGCCUAACACAUGCAAGUCGAACGCGAAAGUCCCGCAAGGGAUUAGUAGAGUGGCAAACGGGUGAGUAACACGUGGGUGACCUGCCUUCGAGCGGGGGAUAACGUUCCGAAAGGAACGCUAAUACCGCAUAACAUCCUGCCUUUUAAGAGGCGGUGAUCAAAGCCGGGGAUUCGCAAGAACCUGGCACUUGAAGAGGGGCCCGCGCCUGAUUAGCUAGUUGGGGGGUAAUGGCCUACCAAGGCAACGAUCAGUAUCCGGCCUGAGAGGGGCGGACGGACACACUGGGACUGAGACACGGCCCAGACUCCUACGGGAGGCAGCAGUGGGGAAUUGUUCGCAAUGGGCGCAAGCCUGACGACGCAACGCCGCGUGGAGGAUGAAGACCU